This 65-nucleotide transfer RNA is filed under the name Scolytinae sp. BMNH 1040118. Its description in RNAcentral is "tRNA-Ile". Lineage: Eukaryota; Metazoa; Arthropoda; Insecta; Coleoptera; Curculionidae. The record is from RNAcentral.
AGAUGAAGUGCCUGAGCAAAGGAAUAUCUCGAUAAGAUAAACAACGUAGUAAACUACCUCAUCUA